This 800-nucleotide ribosomal RNA is filed under the name uncultured bacterium. RNAcentral describes it as "bacterial SSU rRNA". It matches the Rfam family "Bacterial small subunit ribosomal RNA", at positions 8 to 788 of the family's 1533-position model. The record is from RNAcentral.
AGAGUUUGAUCCUGGCUCAGAACGAACGUUAGCGGCACGCCUAACACAUGCAAGUCGCACGAGAAAGGGCUUCGGCCCCGGUACAGUGGCGCACGGGUGAGUAACACGUGGGUAAUCUACCUUCGGAUGGGGGAUAACACUUCGAAAGGGGUGCUAAUACCGCAUAAGCUCACGACCUCUUCGGGGGUUGGGAGAAAAGCAGGCCUCUUCAUGAAAGCUUGUGUCUGAAGAUGAGCCCGCGGCCCAUCAGUUAGUUGGCAGGGUAAUGGCCUACCAAGACGAAGACGGGUAGCUGGUCUGAGAGGAUGAUCAGCCACACUGGAACUGAGACACGGUCCAGACUCCUACGGGAGGCAGCAGUGGGGAAUCUUGCGCAAUGGGCGAAAGCCUGACGCAGCGAUGCCGCGUGAGUGAUGAAGGCCUUCGGGUUGUAAAGCUCUGUGGGGAGAGAAGAAUAAGUCGUCGUGAAUAACGCCGAUGAUGACGGUAUCUCCUUAGCAAGCACCGGCUAACUCUGUGCCAGCAGCCGCGGUAAGACAGAGGGUGCAAACGUUGUUCGGAAUUACUGGGCGUAAAGCGAGUGUAGGCGGUGAGAUAAGUCGGACGUGAAAGCCCGGGGCUCAACCUCGGAAGUGCGCUCGAUACUGUCUCGCUUGAGUGUCGGAGAGGUUGGUGGAAUUCUGGGUGUAGAGGUGAAAUUCGUAGAUAUCCAGAGGAACACCGGUGGCGAAGGCGGCCAACUGGACGACGACUGACGCUGAGACUCGAAAGUGUGGGGAGCAAACAGGAUUAGAUACCCU